UAUCUCUGUAGAGUCUGCAUAUCAAUAAGCGGAGGAAAAGAAACUAACAGGGAUUCCCUUAGUAAAGGCGAGUGAAGCGGGAAGAGCUCAAAUUUGAAAUCUUCAAGGUUCUACCUUGACGAAUUGUAGUUUAAAGAAGUGUUUUCUGUUAGAUGAGUAGCAAAAGUUCCUUGGAAUAGGGACAUCAUAGAGGGUGAGAAUCCCGUAUUUGACCGUUAUUAUUCAGCUGUGUGAUACACUUUCAAAGAGUCGGAUUGUUUGGGAAUGCAGUCCAAAAUGGGUGGUAAAUUUCAUCUAAAGCUAAAUAUUGGCGAGAGACCGAUAGCGAACAAGUACCGUGAGGGAAAGAUGAAAAGAACUUUGAAAAGAGAGUUAAACAGUACGUGAAAUUGUCAAAAGGGAAGCGUUUGACACCAGUGUUGUUUUUCCGAAAAUCAAUUACGAAUGGCUUGAUUUUGUGUUGUAUUGACCUUAUCAGCUUUCUUCACUUUUUUCGAGUCUUUCUUAAUGCACUUUUCGGUUAACAAGUCAACAUCAAUUUCUUUUGUUGUAAAAGAGUAUUCGGAAGGUGGCUUUCUUUUCGGAGAAAGUGUUUAUAGCCCUAUGACUUCCUGCAAUCGGAGAGAUUGAGGUCUGCAGCGUAGAUCCUUCUGGAUUAGAUACACUUGUGCUAAGUUGUAGCUUUUCAUAGACAACUUGUUGACUAUGUUUAGUCAUGCGGCUUACUCGCUUAUGCUAUUUUACCUACGCUUAGGAUGUUGACUGAUAUGUAGUCGUA
RNAcentral lists this ribosomal RNA (778 nucleotides) under uncultured Neocallimastigales. RNAcentral describes it as "partial large subunit ribosomal RNA". It matches the Rfam family "Eukaryotic large subunit ribosomal RNA", at positions 24 to 644 of the family's 3401-position model. The record is from RNAcentral. Lineage: Eukaryota; Fungi; Neocallimastigomycota; Neocallimastigomycetes; Neocallimastigales.